UUUAUCGAUUUGGAGCGGCACUAGUUUCACCUUCUAGAGGUCAAAGCUAUCACCACAUCAAUCCGGCGAAUCCGGUGUGAAUGAAUCAAAUUCCUUGAGCAAUUGAGCAUUCCUAUAAAUUUCUUCAUUUCUUAUACCAGACGGAUACUUUCACAUCUCUACAAAAUGCCUAUCAAGUCAAUUAAAGCUCGCCAGAUCUUUGACUCCCGUGGCAACCCCACAGUAGAAGUUGACCUGGUGACUGAAUUGGGUCUGUUCCGAGCGGCCGUGCCCUCUGGUGCCUCCACUGGAGUCCACGAGGCUCUUGAGCUCAGAGACAAUGUCAAGGGUGAAUACCUGGGCAAGGGCGUGAAGACGGCCGUCAGCAACAUCAACAACAUCAUCGUCCCUGAGCUGCUGAAGCAAAACAUUGAGGUCACUGAACAGAAACAGAUUGACCAGUUCAUGCUGAAUUUGGAUGGCACUGAGAACAAGUCCAAGCUUGGCGCUAACGCCAUUCUCGGCGUUUCCCUCGCCGUCGCCAAGGCUGGCGCUGCCAAGAAGGGAGUGCCCCUCUACAAGCACUUGGCCGACUUGGCCGGAAACGCUGACAUCGUUCUGCCAGUGCCUGCCUUCAAUGUUAUCAACGGAGGCUCUCAUGCUGGCAACAAGCUUGCCAUGCAGGAAUUCAUGAUUCUUCCCACUGGUGCCACCUCAUUCACCGAGGCCAUGCGCAUGGGCUCCGAGGUGUACCACUUCCUGAAGAAGAUCAUCAAGGAGAAGUUCGGCCUGGACUCCACCGCCGUCGGUGACGAGGGUGGCUUCGCGCCCAACAUCCUCAACAACAAGGAUGCUCUCUUUCUCAUACAGGAUGCUAUCCAGCAGGCUGGAUACACUGGCAAGAUCGAGAUCGGCAUGGACGUUGCCGCGUCAGAAUUCUUCAAGAACAACAAGUACGAUCUCGACUUCAAGAACCCCAACUCCAACCCCGACGACUACCUGCCGUCCGGCAAGCUGGCGGACCUGUACCUUGAGUUCAUCAAGGACUUCCCCAUGGUGUCCAUCGAGGACCCCUUCGACCAGGACGACUGGGCGGCGUGGAGCGACCUCACCUCUCGCACUUCCAUCCAGAUUGUUGGAGAUGACUUGACCGUGACAAACCCCAAGCGCAUCGCGACAGCAGUGGAGAAGAAGGCGUGCAACUGCCUGCUGCUGAAGGUGAACCAGAUCGGCUCCGUCACCGAGUCCAUCGCCGCGCACCUGCUGGCCAAGGAGAACGGCUGGGGCACCAUGGUCUCCCACAGGUACACUACACCUACCACCUGAACCAGAUCGGCUCCGUCACCGAGUCCAUCGCCGCGCACCUGCUCGCCAAGGAGAACGGCUGGGGCACCAUGGUCUCCCACAGGUACACUACACCUACCACCUGAACCAGAUCGGCUCCGUCACCGAGUCCAUCGCCGCGCACCUGCUCGCCAAGGAGAACGGCUGGGGCACCAUGGUCUCCCACAGGUACACUACACCUACCACCUGAACCAGAUCGGCUCCGUCACCGAGUCCAUCGCCGCGCACCUGCUCGCCAAGGAGAACGGCUGGGGCACCAUGGUCUCCCACAGGUACACUACACCUACCACCUGAACCAGAUCGGCUCCGUCACCGAGUCCAUCGCCGCGCACCUGCUCGCCAAGGAGAACGGCUGGGGCACCAUGGUCUCCCACAGGUAUACUACACCUACCACCUGAACCAGGUCGGCUCCGUCACCGAGUCCAUCGCCGCGCACCUGCUCGCCAAGGAGAACGGCUGGGGCACCAUGGUCUCCCACAGGUACACUACACCUACCACCUGAACCAGAUCGGCUCCGUCACCGAGUCCAUCGCCGCGCACCUGCUCGCCAAGGAGAACGGCUGGGGCACCAUGGUCUCCCACAGGUAUACUACACCUACCACCUGAACCAGAUCGGCUCCGUCACCGAGUCCAUCGCCGCGCACCUGCUCGCCAAGGAGAACGGCUGGGGCACCAUGGUCUCCCACAGGUCCGGAGAAACCGAAGACACGUUUAUCGCCGACCUGGUGGUGGGCCUGUCCACCGGCCAGAUCAAGACGGGCGCGCCGUGCCGCUCCGAGCGCCUCGCCAAGUACAACCAGAUCCUGCGCAUCGAGGAGGAGCUCGGCGCCGCCGCCAAGUACGCUGGCAGGAACUUCCGCAGACCCGUCUAAACAUACAUUUGUAGGGCGUGUUCUGAUUGUGUUGAUCUCUGACCUAUUGUACUGUAUGUUCCGAUCUUAUGACUGAACAUCAGGAUAUGCCCGUACGCUCCAUACUGUUAAUGUAUGUCGUGAUUAAAGCAUCUUAUAGCCUAUAAUGUUAAUGGUGUAGUGUUGUUAAAGCACAAUAGUCAACAAUAUGAUUGCUUUUAUGAAAUUACUUUAUAAGAUGUUUUGAAGGCAGUAGUUGUCACUUAUUGAAUGUAUGAAUCUAUUUAUUUGAAUUAUAAGAUUUUACUGUAAGUAAAAAUGGGAAAUGAAUGUAAUAGCAUCCGAACAUUCGUAAAUACACUAUGUACGUUGUAA
Molecule: RNA transcript, 2549 nt
Organism: Cydia strobilella
Lineage: Eukaryota; Metazoa; Arthropoda; Insecta; Lepidoptera; Tortricidae
Gene: Eno
Gene name: enolase
Exons: 8
Source: RefSeq, a predicted model, not a curated record